UUUUUAAUUGAAAUCUUGUAUGAAUGGUUGAACAAGAAAAAAACUGUCUUUGUAUUAAAUUUGAAUUUAACUUUUAAGUGAAAAGGCUUAAAUAUUCUAAAAAGACGAUAAGACCCUAUAAAGUUUUACAUUGUUGUUAAAUUUUAUUAAAUUUAUGUAAUAAAAAUUUAAUUUAAUUAUUUGUUAUGUUGGGGAGACAUAGGUAAAAUUUAUUUUAACUGCUUAAUAAUUAAACAUUAAUUAAUGGUUGGUAAUAGAUCCUUUAUAAAGAUUGUAAGAUUAAGUUACUUUAGGGAUAACAGCGUUAUUUCUUUUGAGAGUCCUUAUCGAAAAAGAAGUUUGCGACCUCGAUGUUGAAUUAAAAUAUCUAUAUAAUGCAGAAGUUAUAUAAGAGAGUCUGUUCGACUUUUAAAUUUUUAC
This 420-nucleotide ribosomal RNA is filed under the name Socotra pseudocardisoma. RNAcentral describes it as "partial 16S ribosomal RNA". The stretch from base 295 to 420 matches the Rfam family "Bacterial large subunit ribosomal RNA", at positions 2473 to 2599 of the family's 2925-position model. The record is from RNAcentral. Lineage: Eukaryota; Metazoa; Arthropoda; Malacostraca; Decapoda; Potamidae.